RNAcentral lists this long non-coding RNA (179 nucleotides) under Sus scrofa (pig). Its description in RNAcentral is "lncRNA (ENSSSCG00015069018.1)". The record is from RNAcentral. Lineage: Eukaryota; Metazoa; Chordata; Mammalia; Artiodactyla; Suidae.
AUGCCGUAAAAGCAAGUUGAUAAAGGUGGCCACCGUGGGGACAGGGCCUAUCUGCCUAUUGAGAAAGGCAGUCGGAGCGCUGCAAACCCUGAGUUGCAACACCAGGACACCUUACCAAAGCUUAUUCUACUAGAAGCAAGAUGGCUGAACUCAAUACUCAUGUGAAUGUCAAGGAAAAG